Molecule: ribosomal RNA, 492 nt
Filed under: uncultured bacterium
Lineage: Bacteria
Description: partial 16S ribosomal RNA
Rfam family: Bacterial small subunit ribosomal RNA
Source: RNAcentral
GAUGAACGCUAGCUACAGGCUUAACACAUGCAAGUCGAGGGGAAACGACAUCGAAAGCUUGCUUUUGAUGGGCGUCGACCUGCGCACGGGUGAGUAACGCGUAUCCAACCUGCCCAUCACUUGGGAAUAACCUUGCGAAAGUAAGACUAAUACCCAAUGAUAUCCCACGAAGGCAUCGGAAUGGGAUUAAAGAUUUAUCGGUGAUGGAUGGGGAUGCGUCUGAUUAGCUUGUUGGCGAGGUAACGGCCCACCAAGGCAACGAUCAGUAGGGGUUCUGAGAGGAAGGUCCCCCACAUUAGAACUGAGACACGGUCCAAACUACUACGGGAGGCAGCAGUGAGGAAGAUUAGUCAAUGGGCGAGAGCCUGAACCAGACAAGUAGCGUGCAGGAAGACGGCCAUAUGGGUUGUAAACUGCUUUUAUAAGGGAAAAAAGUGGGUCACGUGUGACUUUUUGAAUGUACCUUAUGAAUAAAGACAGGCUAAUUCCGUG